GGGAGUAUAGUUCAGCGGUAGAACGCUCGACCGAUAAUCGAGAGGUCUCUGGUUCGAUCCCAGAUACUCCCACCA
Molecule: transfer RNA, 75 nt
Filed under: Raoultella phage Ro1
Lineage: Duplodnaviria; Heunggongvirae; Uroviricota; Caudoviricetes
Also listed under: 4 other names
Description: tRNA-Ile
Rfam family: tRNA
About the family: Transfer RNA (tRNA) molecules are approximately 80 nucleotides in length. Their secondary structure includes four short double-helical elements and three loops (D, anti-codon, and T loops).
Source: RNAcentral